GGGUGAUGGCGUGCCUUUUGUAGAAUGAACCGGCGAGUUACGUUCCCGUGCAAGGUUAAGGUGAAGAGCUGAAGCCGCAGCGAAAGCGAGUCUGAAUAGGGCGAAUGAGUACGUGGACGUAGACCCGAAACCGGGUGAUCUACCCCUGUCCAGGGUGAAGGUGCGGUAACACGCACUGGAGGCCCGAACCCACGCAUGUUGAAAAAUGCGGGGAUGAGGUGGGGGUAGCGGAGAAAUUCCAAUCGAACCCGGAGAUAGCUGGUUCUCCCCGAAAUAGCUUUAGGGCUAGCCUCGGAAAGAAGAAUCGUGGAGGUAGAGCACUGAUUGGGUGCGGGGCCCGCAAGGGUUACCAAGCUCAGUCAAACUCCGAAUGCCAUAGAUUUAGUUCCGGGAGUCAGACAGUGAGUGCUAAGAUCCAUUGUCGAAAGGGAAACAGCCCAGACCAUCAGCUAAGGUCCCCAAGUGUGUGUUAAGUGGGAAAGGAUGUGGAGUUGCACAGACAACCAGGAUGUUGGCUUAGAAGCAGCCACCAUUGAAAGAGUGCGUAAUAGCUCACUGGUCGAGUGACUCUGCGCCGAAAAUGUAACGGGGCUAAACACACCACCGAAGCUAUGGCUUGAUGCUUUGCAUCAGGGGUAGGGGAGCGUUGAAUGCGGGUUGAAGGUGUACCGGAAGGAGCGCUGGACUGCAUUCAAGUGAGAAUGCCGGUAUGAGUAACGAAAAGAUCUGUGAGAAUCAGAUCCGCCGAAAGCCUAAGGGUUCCUGAGGAAGGUUCGUCCGCUCAGGGUAAGUCGGGACCUAAGGCGAGGCCGAUAGGCGUAGUCGAAGGACAACAGGUGGAAAUUCCUGUACCACCGUAAUCCGCUAUGAGCGAUGGGGUGACGCAGUAGGGUAGUGACGCGGACUGAUGGAUGUCCGUCUAAGCAGUGAGGCUGAUGUGUAGGCAAAUCCGCACAUCGU
Molecule: ribosomal RNA, 960 nt
Filed under: Paenibacillus sp. EKM211P
Lineage: Bacteria; Bacillati; Bacillota; Bacilli; Caryophanales; Paenibacillaceae
Description: partial 23S ribosomal RNA
Rfam family: Bacterial large subunit ribosomal RNA
Source: RNAcentral